GUAAUAAAUUAAUAUAUUUAAGAGAUAUCCGGACAACAUAACUUUUGCCGAUGAAGAUGCUCUUACCUUUUGUCGGGUCAGGCGUUUACAUUUUAUAAAGGUUAAAUUUUUUGAUGAUGAUUUCUAUUUCUAGAGAGAGUUCAUCAAAGGAAAAGAUAUCAACAAGAUAAUUUCUGCAAAGUAACGAUAACAUG
RNAcentral lists this small RNA (194 nucleotides) under Arabidopsis thaliana (thale cress). RNAcentral's name for it is "ATSL176290". The record is from RNAcentral. Lineage: Eukaryota; Viridiplantae; Streptophyta; Magnoliopsida; Brassicales; Brassicaceae.